GACGAACGCUGGCGGCGUGCUUAACACAUGCCAGUCGAACGGAAAGGCCCUGCUUUUGUGGGGUGCUCGAGUGGCGAACGGGUGAGUAACACGUGAGUAACCUGCCCUUGACUUUGGGAUAACUACAGGAAACUGGGGCUAAUACCGGAUAGGAGCUCCUGCUGCAUGGUGGGGGUUGGAAAGUUUCGGCGGUUGGGGAUGGACUCGCGGCUUAUCAGCUUGUUGGUGGGGUAGUGGCUUACCAAGGCUUUGACGGGUAGCCGGCCUGAGAGGGUGACCGGCCACAUUGGGACUGAGAUACGGCCCAGACUCCUACGGGAGGCAGCAGUGGGGAAUAUUGCACAAUGGGCGGAAGCCUGAUGCAGCAACGCCGCGUGCGGGAUGACGGCCUUCGGGUUGUAAACCGCUUUCGCCUGUGACGAAGCGUGAGUGACGGUAAUGGGUAAAGAAGCACCGGCUAACUACGUG
This 468-nucleotide ribosomal RNA is filed under the name uncultured bacterium. RNAcentral's name for it is "partial 16S ribosomal RNA". It matches the Rfam family "Bacterial small subunit ribosomal RNA", at positions 28 to 507 of the family's 1533-position model. The record is from RNAcentral.